Molecule: non-coding RNA, 74 nt
Organism: Myotis lucifugus (little brown bat)
Lineage: Eukaryota; Metazoa; Chordata; Mammalia; Chiroptera; Vespertilionidae
Source: Rfam
GGCCAGGUGGCUCAGUUGGUUGGAGCGUCAUCCCAUGCACUAAAAGGUUGCGGGUUAGAUUCCCUUCCCGGUCA